RNAcentral lists this long non-coding RNA (422 nucleotides) under Homo sapiens (human). RNAcentral's name for it is "HSALNT0393246". The record is from RNAcentral. Lineage: Eukaryota; Metazoa; Chordata; Mammalia; Primates; Hominidae.
CUGUCUAGUUUUUAUGUGAAGAUAUUUCCUUUUCCACCAUAGUCCUCAAAGUGCUCCAAAUGUCCACUUGCAGAUUCUACGAAAAGAAAGUUUCAAAACUGCUCAAUCAAAAGAAAUGUUUAUCUCUGUGAGAUGAAUGCACACAUCACAAAGUUGUUUCUCAGAUUACUUCUGUCUAGAUUUUAUGUGAACAUAUUUCCUAGUCUACCAUAGGCCGCAAAGUAGGCUGCAAAGUACUCCAAAUGUCCACUUGCAGAUUCUAUAAAAAGAGGGUUUCCAAACUGCUCAAUCAAAAGAAAGUUUCAACUCUGUGAGAUGAACGUGCCCAUCACAAAGUUUUUCAGAAUUCUUCUGUCUACUUUUUAUGGGAAGAUAUUUCCUUUUUCACCAUAAGCCUCAAAGUGCUCGAAAUGUCCACUUGC